CCCCCCGUCGUCUAGCGGCCUAGGAUAUCAGGUUUUCAUCCUGGAGAUCAGGGGUUCGAAUCCCCUCGGGGGUA
RNAcentral lists this transfer RNA (74 nucleotides) under Patescibacteria group bacterium. Its description in RNAcentral is "tRNA-Glu". It matches the Rfam family "tRNA". From Rfam's summary of the family: Transfer RNA (tRNA) molecules are approximately 80 nucleotides in length. Their secondary structure includes four short double-helical elements and three loops (D, anti-codon, and T loops). The record is from RNAcentral.